AGCAUGUGGUUUAAUUCGAAGCAACGCGAAGAACCUUACCUGGGCUUGACAUCCCUGGAAUCCCCUGGAAACAGGGGAGUGCCCUUCGGGGAGCCAGGAGACAGGUGCUGCAUGGCUGUCGUCAGCUCGUGUCGUGAGAUGUUGGGUUAAGUCCCGCAACGAGCGCAACCCUUUGUCUUUAAUUGCCAUCAUUCAGUUGGGCACUUUAAAGAGACUGCCGGUGUUAAACCGGAGGAAGGUGGGGAUGACGUCAAGUCCUCAUGGCCUUUAUGCCCAGGGCUACACACGUGCUACAAUGGGUGGUACAAAGAGAUGCAAUCUCGCAAGAGCAAGCAAACCUCAAAAAGCCAUCCUCAGUUCGGAUUGGAGUCUGAAACCCGACUCCAUGAAGGUGGAAUCGCUAGUAAUCGCGCAUCAGCAUGGCGCGGUGAAUACGUUCCCGGGCCUU
This 448-nucleotide ribosomal RNA is filed under the name uncultured Syntrophus sp. RNAcentral describes it as "bacterial SSU rRNA". It matches the Rfam family "Bacterial small subunit ribosomal RNA", at positions 936 to 1382 of the family's 1533-position model. The record is from RNAcentral. Lineage: Bacteria; Pseudomonadati; Thermodesulfobacteriota; Syntrophia; Syntrophales; Syntrophaceae.